This is a long non-coding RNA of Drosophila gunungcola (fruit fly), 1593 nucleotides long. RefSeq lists it as uncharacterized. Lineage: Eukaryota; Metazoa; Arthropoda; Insecta; Diptera; Drosophilidae. The record is from RefSeq and is a predicted model, not a curated record. The transcript has 2 exons.
AUGCUAAUAAUAAUAUUUGCAUGGCAAACUGAACGAGGGAAAUUCAGUUGGAUGGAGACCUGACGUCAACUUCAAGUUGCGAUGAGUGAAAUAAUUAGAACGGUUUUUUUGCGGGGAUGCGGAUAUGUAAAAUGGAAAUUAAUUGGAUUGGAUAAUUGGUUGGUGACUUGUUUACCCAAAAUAAGAGUAAUCAAUUUGACUGACUAGAAGGAUUUAAAUUUCACCUAUAAAGAAUUGAUAAAUGUACUUAUGUCUUGUCGUUAAAAGUAAUUGUGUACGUAAUUUGUGUAAUAUUCAGAGAAGUCACCAUACUUACCCUCCCAGUUUUCAAACCAAUAUUCUUUCCAAGCCAUCAAAUUGCUUAAUUUUCGUAUUAUAAUUACACAGAAGAGUGGUCACACUCAAUAUCGAUAUUCUACAAAACGCAUUCAGACAGUCCGUAAACAUUUGCCAUGACAGUGUAAUAUGCACUCGCAAUAUUUUUUUGUUCUCAAUGAUAUAAGUAAAAAGUCCAAGAAAAGUAAAAUAAAAGAAGAAAAAAAAAUUCCGAAACGGACGAGACAAUAACAAAACAUUUAAGAGAAAACUCAAUGGCAAAAACAUCAUCACGUGUGUCUAGUAUAACGAAAACACCGCGUCUAGACUAUAUCCAAAAACUGGUUUAAACUGGCCUAUUUGAAAGUGUUUUUGAAACCAAUGACCACUGCAUUGCUUUCGAAAUGUUCUCUCAUCGUUAAAUAAUGAUACUUGGUUCAAGUUCCAAAAUAAAAAAAAAAAUUGAAUCAUUUUCUUUAAAAAGAAAAAUUAAUUAGAAAAAUAGUAUGUGUGUUCAAUCAAGAUGUUAGACUACCUUCUCGAUCACACCUACACACACUGAUAAAGUUCAAUCUGCGUAAAAUAUUUUCCAUUUAUAUAAUAGACAUUUAUUGGCCAGACCAAAUAGACGAUUCAUGUGAUGUUUCAGCGGCUAAAGCGAAGCAAAAAUUAAUAAUUUAUUAAAUACUACACACGUAUAUACGUUCGUAUAUUCGUACAAAUUAUAAAAAUGCUUUCUUCAGCGUCAGGCGCACAGGAGAUGAGAAAAAAGCAUUCACAGUGCUUCCCACGCUUUUAACUGAGCUUUCUCCUCAAAAAACAAUCAUUAUCUUCCUCUGUCUCUCGUUUUUUAUAUUCUGCAAUUGCAGUGCUUUGUUAUGCUAUCCAGCCAGUUCAACAGUGUAAAUCUUAUAAAUUUGUACCCAACUAAUAAGCUGGAAACCAAUUAAGAUGGUAGUCCCACAACGUGCAGCCGGCGGGAGUGAACCUGGGCAGCCUCGGAAAGAGGGACACCUUCUCGAUGGAAACGGGAAAAUCUACAGAUGCCCCAUUUGCCACAAGCCCCCGGUGGAGAAAGUGGUCACCAACUGUGGCCAUCUGUUUUGCCUGGGAUGUCUGACCAACGUCUUGCAAGCAGGCCCUUGGUGCCCCCGUUGCCAGACAGAAGUGUACAGAGUGCAACGUGUAUUUACCUAAUUCUAAGGUAUCGUUUUUGUUGCACUCGGUUCAAACAUUUGUUAUGGUUUUGUCACCGAUAUUAAAUGCCACAAUCGCCAA